This 459-nucleotide ribosomal RNA is filed under the name uncultured Micrococcineae bacterium. RNAcentral describes it as "bacterial SSU rRNA". It matches the Rfam family "Bacterial small subunit ribosomal RNA", at positions 920 to 1382 of the family's 1533-position model. Lineage: Bacteria; Bacillati; Actinomycetota; Actinomycetes; Micrococcales. The record is from RNAcentral.
CCCGCACAAGCGGCGGAGCAUGCGGAUUAAUUCGAUGCAACGCGAAGAACCUUACCAGGGCUUGACAUGCACCGGAAACCGCCAGAGAUGGUGGCUCCGUAAGGCUGGUGCACAGGUGGUGCAUGGUUGUCGUCAGCUCGUGUCGUGAGAUGUUGGGUUAAGUCCCGCAACGAGCGCAACCCUCGUCCCAUGUUGCCAGCGGGUGAUGCCGGGGACUCAUGGGAGACUGCCGGGGUCAACUCGGAGGAAGGUGGGAUGAUGUCAAAUCAUCAUGCCCCUUAUGUCUUGGGCUUCACGCAUGCUACAAUGGCCGGUACAAAGGGCUGCGAUACCGCGAGGUGGAGCGAAUCCCAGAAAGCCGGUCUCAGUUCGGAUUGGGGUCUGCAACUCGAGCCCAUGAAGUUGGAAUCGCUAGUAAUCGUGGAUCAGCAUGCCACGGUGAAUACGUUCCCGGGCCUU